RNAcentral lists this unclassified non-coding RNA (2063 nucleotides) under Pyricularia oryzae. RNAcentral describes it as "sequence contains ITS1, 5.8S rRNA gene, ITS2". The stretch from base 1697 to 1850 matches the Rfam family "5.8S ribosomal RNA". The record is from RNAcentral. Lineage: Eukaryota; Fungi; Ascomycota; Sordariomycetes; Magnaporthales; Pyriculariaceae.
AAUACGAAAAAAAUUAUUUGGUGGGGGGGUGGGUUUUUUUCUCCCCCCCCGUUUGGUUGGCGGGCGUGCGGGACCCCUCCCUUUUUUAAAAAAAAAAAGGGGGGGGGGGUGGUUUUUUUAGGGGGGGGGGGAGGGACACACCCCCGGCGGGGAAGAAUUUAUUCCCAAAAAAGGAGAGAGUGUUUCCGCGGUUUUUUUUUUCACCCGCGUGUUUUUUUUAAACCGGCGCGCUCUACAAAGGUGGAAACCCGGGGAAGGGAACCCCCCCCGCCCCGGAAAUGGAAAUCCUUUUGGGGGGGCCCCCCCCCGGGCCCCCGGGGGAAGGGGGGCCCCCCCGGGGGGGCCGGGCCCCCCCCAAAAAACCAACCCCCAAAGGGCCGGGAAGGCUUUUAAGGGGUUGAAAAAAUUGGAACCGGCCUUUCGAAAAACCCAAGGGCCAUUGGCCCCCCCGGCCCGGGAAAAAAUAAAGCCCCGGCCGGGGGCCCGGCCCAAAAAUUGUGGUCGUUUUACCAAAAAAGAAUUUUUGGGAAUUGGAAUUUUUCCAAAGCUGAAAAUUUUUCCUUGGACAAAAUUUUCCCAACCAAUUUUUAAUCUUUUAAUUCCCGGCCAUUUUUUUCCGGCCUGGCCGGUUUUCCUUUUUCCAAUUUCCGAAUGCCCCCCAAGGAAAAACCCCAAAAAGAAGGAAUUCCCCCGGUUUUGGUUUGAAAAAAAGGUUUUUUUUGGAAUUUUAAAUUUUUUGGUUCCUUUUUUUCCCAGGGGCCCUUCCAAAGAAGGAAUUAAACCUGGGAAAAAAAAAAAAAAUUUAAAAGGAAGGUUUUUUUUGGAAAACCCCUUUCCCCGGGGCCGGGGGCCGGUUGGCCCCCCCGGCUCCGGGAAAAGGCCAAAAACCGGAACCAAUGUACGGGUUUUUAUUGGUUUUCCCAACCAAGGGGGGGUUUGGGGAAAGAUUUCUCUGUCCAAAACGCUUUCCAAAGCUAAUAUAUCGGAGUUACACUUCUUUCGAAAACCCCCUGGCCUGGGAACGGGGGGAAUCCCAAUUUAACCUUGGAAUGCUUUGGAAAUUUUUUUUUUCUCCCCUUAAAAGUUAAUACAAGGGGUCUCCCCCCCACCAGGAGACCACAAAAAAAAAAGGGGGUUGAGGGGGAGAACCCCCGGAAGACAAAAGGUUUUCUUUUUCCGGUUUUUUGGCCUCAGGAACCAAGACCCGCCGAUAACUGGGGCCCGGCCGGGAGGGCCCGGCCCCCCAAAACACCAAGCGAAGUAGGGGAAAGACGCUGAACAGCAUGCCGCGGAAUACCGCGGCGCAAUUGGUUCAAAGAUUGAUGAUUCAAUGAAUUCUGCAAUUCACCAUUACUUAUCGCAUUUCGCUGCUUCUUUCAUCGAUGCCAGAACCAAGAGAUCCGUUGUUGAAAGUUUUGAUUAUUUGUCUUUCAGGCUCAGAGAUACUGGAAAAAAUAAGAGUUUUGAACCUCCGGCGGGCGUGCCCGCCGAAGCAACGACAGAGGUUAUGUUCACAGGGGUUGGAGUUUUUCAACUCAGUAAUCAUACUUCGAACCUGCGGAGGGAUCAUUACUGAGUUGAAAAACUCCAACCCCUGUGAACAUAACCUCUGUCGUUGCUUCGGCGGGCACGCCCGCCGGAGGUUCAAAACUCUUAUUUUUUCCAGUAUCUCUGAGCCUGAAAGACAAAUAAUCAAAACUUUCAACAACGGAUCUCUUGGUUCUGGCAUCGAUGAAGAACGCAGCGAAAUGCGAUAAGUAAUGUGAAUUGCAGAAUUCAGUGAAUCAUCGAAUCUUUGAACGCACAUUGCGCCCGCCGGUAUUCCGGCGGGCAUGCCUGUUCGAGCGUCAUUUCAACCCUCAAGCCUCGGCUUGGUGUUGGGGCGCCCGGGCCCUCCGCGGCCCGGGGCCCCCUAGUUCAUUCGGCGGGCUCGUCGGUACACUGAGCGCGGUAAAACGCGGUAAAACGCGAACCUCGUUCGGAUCGUCCCGGCGUGCUCCCGGCCGCGUAACCCACCCGAUUUGUAUGCAGUCACGCGGAGCCGCGCGGUGUCUGAUCGGGCU